Molecule: RNA transcript, 7719 nt
Organism: Homo sapiens (human)
Lineage: Eukaryota; Metazoa; Chordata; Mammalia; Primates; Hominidae
Gene: EXOC4
Gene name: exocyst complex component 4
Exons: 20
Source: RefSeq, marked reviewed
CUAGCGGCUCUCCCCGCGUCCAAGAUGGCGGCAGAAGCAGCUGGUGGGAAAUACAGAAGCACAGUCAGCAAAAGCAAAGACCCCUCGGGGCUGCUCAUCUCUGUGAUCAGGACUCUGUCUACUAGUGACGAUGUCGAAGACAGGGAAAAUGAAAAGGGUCGCCUUGAAGAAGCCUACGAGAAAUGUGACCGUGACCUGGAUGAAUUGAUUGUACAGCACUACACAGAAUUGACGACAGCCAUUCGCACAUACCAGAGCAUCACAGAGCGCAUCACUAACUCCCGAAAUAAAAUAAAGCAGGUAAAAGAGAACCUGCUUUCAUGCAAGAUGCUGCUGCACUGCAAACGGGAUGAGCUUCGGAAACUGUGGAUUGAAGGAAUUGAGCAUAAGCAUGUCCUGAACUUGUUGGAUGAAAUUGAGAAUAUCAAGCAAGUGCCUCAAAAGCUGGAACAGUGCAUGGCCAGCAAGCACUAUCUCAGUGCCACUGACAUGUUGGUGUCAGCAGUUGAGUCUUUGGAGGGCCCCCUGCUCCAGGUGGAAGGACUGAGUGACCUUCGACUAGAGCUUCACAGCAAGAAGAUGAACCUUCACUUGGUUCUCAUAGAUGAACUACACCGGCACCUGUACAUCAAAUCGACUAGCCGAGUUGUGCAGCGUAACAAGGAAAAAGGGAAAAUCAGCUCCCUCGUGAAAGAUGCUUCUGUUCCUCUGAUUGAUGUUACAAACCUCCCUACUCCUCGAAAAUUCCUUGAUACCUCUCACUAUUCUACUGCUGGAAGCUCAAGUGUGAGGGAGAUAAAUCUGCAGGACAUCAAGGAAGAUUUAGAAUUGGAUCCAGAGGAAAACAGCACCCUGUUUAUGGGUAUCCUCAUUAAGGGCUUGGCGAAACUGAAGAAGAUCCCAGAAACAGUUAAGGCAAUCAUAGAGCGCUUGGAGCAGGAGUUGAAGCAAAUUGUGAAGAGGUCUACAACCCAGGUGGCAGACAGUGGCUAUCAGCGGGGGGAGAACGUUACUGUGGAGAACCAACCAAGGUUGCUUCUAGAACUGCUGGAGUUACUGUUUGACAAGUUUAAUGCUGUAGCCGCUGCACACUCUGUGGUCCUGGGAUACCUGCAGGACACUGUAGUGACUCCACUGACUCAGCAGGAAGAUAUCAAACUGUAUGAUAUGGCAGAUGUAUGGGUGAAGAUCCAAGAUGUUCUACAGAUGCUAUUAACUGAGUACUUGGAUAUGAAAAAUACUCGUACGGCCUCUGAACCAUCAGCUCAACUAAGCUAUGCCAGCACUGGACGAGAGUUUGCAGCCUUUUUUGCCAAGAAGAAACCUCAAAGGCCAAAAAAUUCUCUUUUCAAGUUCGAAUCGUCCUCCCAUGCCAUCAGUAUGAGCGCCUAUCUGCGAGAACAGAGAAGGGAGCUCUAUAGUCGGAGUGGAGAACUGCAAGGGGGUCCUGAUGACAACUUAAUUGAAGGUGGAGGAACAAAAUUUGUCUGCAAACCUGGAGCCAGAAACAUUACCGUCAUAUUCCACCCAUUACUAAGAUUUAUUCAGGAGAUUGAGCAUGCUCUGGGUCUUGGCCCAGCCAAACAGUGUCCUCUUCGAGAGUUUCUCACCGUGUACAUCAAAAACAUCUUUCUCAAUCAAGUCUUGGCUGAGAUCAACAAGGAGAUUGAAGGAGUCACUAAAACAUCUGACCCUUUGAAGAUUCUGGCCAACGCAGACACCAUGAAGGUGCUGGGAGUGCAGCGGCCUCUCCUACAGAGCACAAUCAUUGUGGAGAAGACAGUUCAAGACCUCCUGAACCUGAUGCAUGACUUGAGUGCAUAUUCAGAUCAAUUCCUCAACAUGGUGUGCGUGAAGCUCCAGGAGUACAAGGACACCUGCACUGCAGCUUACAGGGGUAUUGUCCAGUCAGAAGAAAAACUUGUCAUCAGUGCAUCCUGGGCAAAAGAUGAUGAUAUCAGCAGACUCUUGAAAUCUCUACCAAACUGGAUGAAUAUGGCUCAACCCAAACAGCUGAGGCCAAAAAGAGAGGAGGAAGAAGAUUUCAUAAGGGCAGCUUUUGGCAAGGAGUCUGAAGUUCUUAUUGGGAACCUGGGUGAUAAAUUAAUCCCUCCACAAGACAUCCUUCGUGACGUCAGUGACCUCAAAGCCUUGGCCAACAUGCAUGAAAGCCUGGAAUGGUUGGCAAGUCGAACAAAGUCAGCUUUCUCCAAUCUUUCUACAUCCCAGAUGCUUUCUCCUGCUCAAGACAGCCACACGAACACGGAUCUCCCCCCAGUGUCAGAGCAGAUCAUGCAGACUCUCAGUGAACUUGCCAAAUCGUUCCAGGAUAUGGCUGACCGCUGCUUGCUUGUCUUACAUCUGGAAGUGAGGGUUCACUGUUUCCACUAUCUUAUCCCUCUUGCAAAGGAGGGGAACUAUGCCAUUGUGGCUAAUGUGGAAAGUAUGGAUUAUGACCCCCUGGUGGUCAAGCUCAACAAAGAUAUCAGCGCCAUUGAAGAGGCCAUGAGCGCCAGCCUUCAGCAGCACAAGUUCCAGUAUAUCUUCGAAGGCCUGGGCCACCUGAUCUCCUGCAUCCUCAUUAAUGGUGCCCAGUACUUCAGGCGCAUCAGUGAGUCUGGCAUCAAGAAAAUGUGUAGGAACAUUUUUGUUCUUCAGCAGAAUUUGACCAACAUCACCAUGUCGCGGGAGGCAGACCUGGACUUUGCAAGGCAGUACUACGAGAUGCUUUACAACACAGCUGACGAGCUCCUGAACCUGGUGGUGGACCAGGGUGUGAAGUACACGGAGCUGGAGUACAUCCACGCUCUGACCCUGCUGCACCGCAGCCAGACUGGGGUGGGGGAACUGACCACCCAGAACACGAGGCUGCAGAGGCUCAAAGAGAUCAUCUGCGAGCAGGCUGCCAUCAAGCAAGCCACCAAGGACAAGAAGAUAACUACCGUUUAGCAGGGCGUACUGCGGUUGGUGACGGGGGUCCCCUCAGUCACACUCACUUUUUUCCUUGCAAAUAUUCCCCAGAAGCCUAAUAUGUGCUCCAUGCUACCACACACAAGGGCAAAUGGAUAGAUGAAGAGGACACCCUUAUUAUCUAAGAGUGUGGGAACUGGACUGGAGCCAAAAAUCCCAACAGCUCAAACUCAGGGCUGGGUCAGAAUCAGGCGGAGAACCCGGAGUGGUGACAGUGAUGGCAGCAGAGCCAGGGUGAGACUGAGAGUGCUCAGACUAAUUUUCUUGGAAGUAGUGGAAAGCUCCGCUAAAAAAGAAACAUGGGUUUGGAUUGAGCAGAAUGUCAAGAGCCCUGAGAACCAACCAAAAAAUGGCAGAUGAGCUGUUUCAGGGGCAACAUUUAGGAAAGUGAAAUCUCUGCUUUGCUUACAAUGACGGGACUGAAAAUGGCAAUUCUGCACAGGAAAGGGACUGUGGGACUCUUCCAAGACAUUUAGGACAUCCAAGUUUCUUUGAAGGUUGGCACAUCAGUCUUUAUUCUUCCACAGGUAAAGAACAGCCAGUGACACACUCAGUGGGUGGUCAAUGGCUACCUCACAACCUAUAUGCAUUUGGGACACAGUGAAGAUUUCCACAUUUUGGUCCUACUUAGGAGUAUUUUGUGAGGCUGUUGUGCUGUUUACAGCCUUGACCAACCAGAAAGUGCUAGAGAGAGCCAGGGUCUGCCAAGGACAGGGCCCACGAAACACAUACACAGUUACGUAAUGUUCUUGUGUGAAGACCUCUCCCUAAGUGUGCUAUUGCAGAUAAGAAGGCCAACAAAGGUCAGGCAUGGUGGCUCACACCUGUAAUCCCAGCACUUUGGGAGGCUGAGGCAGGCAGAUCAGGAGGUCAGGAGUUCGAGACCAGCCUGGCCAACAUAGUGAAACCCCAUCUCUACUAAAAAUACAAAAAUUAGCUGGUGUGGUGGUGCACACCUGUAAUCCCAGCUACUCAGGAGGCUGAGGCAGGAGAAUCGCUUGAACCUGGGAGGUGGAAGUUGCAGUGAGCCCAGAUCACACCAUUGCACUCCAGCCUAGGCGACAGAGCGACACUCUGUCUCAAAAAAAAAAAAAAAAAAAAAAAAAGGCCAACGAAAUACGCCUUACCAGAAGGGGUGCUGGAAACAAAGCAAACCGUUUUCUCAUUCUUAUACAGAGGUACAAAUGGGAGGGAUGUGUGGACUGCUGCCUGCAUCACUAGUCACUGUGCCAUGGAGUAGGCCCACGGGAGUAGGAGGGGUCCUGAGAUGGGAAAUCAACAUGACCAUGAAGAAGGAAGGCUUUGGAGUGAUGUCAUCCAACUUGGUUCUCAGAACAGCAGCUCCCAGAGAGCACUUCCUUCUAACACUGUUAUCUACUCUCUGGUACUUAGCAUGUGUUCCCAUUUAGUCCUCACAGCAACCCUUAUCAUAAAUAUUACUUUCCUCUCUUCCAUACCCAAGGGCCCAGAAACUACUGAAAGAAUCUCUUUCAAGUUAGCCUUCGUUGGAAUAAAUUCCUUGAAAAAGAGGUAGUUCAUCAGCUAGGACCCAACUCUUAUAUAUAUAUAUACACACACACACACACACACACACACACACACACACAGGCAAUUGUGUUCUUGGAAGUGCUGGUGGUGGUUUCUUCUAUAUUUUUGGUUACUUUUAGCUAUAUAUUAUUGCCUGUCAGUAUACCUUCCAAUUUAUAAAUGAAACUACUCUUUGGGUGAUAUUGUGCCCCUUACCCCACAAGCACUUCUUUCUACCUGCUCUAUUAAUACAGGUUCUUUCAGGGUCUCUCAUCCUAGGCGGUGUUUUUAUUCCUACCUCACAGUAGGGCUUUGAAAUCUUACUGCCCAACUAGAACAUUUUCCCCCUCCACACUGAUUUCAUCCCAAUAAUUAGACAAGGAUUGGUUCCUCAGGUUGCUCUUGCUGGUUAAGGACAAGUCCUGCUUCCAGGCUCUGAAAGACAAGUUUAUUUUUUAGUAUGUCCAGAUCAGCUCAAGUUUAGUGGUAAGACCAGGCCUGAGCUGCUACAGCCCAUACUCUUGAAACCCAUCCUCUUGAAACUCUUGACACCACACUGGAAACCUUGUGAAAAGCCUCUGCUUUUCAUGACCUUUCCUCCUUGUUUCUGACCUACUUGAGGAAAGGAGCUGAUACAGUUUGGCUGUGUCCCCACCCAAAUAUCAUCUUGAAUUGCAGCUCCCAUAAUCCCACGUGUCAGGGGAGGGACCUGGUAGGAGGUUAAUGAAUCAUGGGGGUGAGUUUUUCCAGUGCUGUUCACAUGAUAGUGAAUUAGUGUCACAGCAUCCAAUGGUUUUAUAAAGGGCAGUUCUCCCACACAUUUCUCCUUGCCUACUGCCAUGUAAGACGUGACUUUGCUCCUCCUUCACCUUUCGCCAUGAUUGUGAGGCCUCCCCAGCCAUGUGGAACUGUGAGUCCAUUAAACCUCUUUUUCAUUAUAAAUUACCCAGUGUCAGGUAUUUCUUCAUAGCAGUAUGAAAAUGGACUAAUAUAGGGGCUGUAUCUUGCCCAUCCUUAGGUACUAUUACUUCUAUUACAUUACUACUAAUCUGGUGGGAUCCUCUUCCAGCAGUUACUGCCCUCUGCAGAGUAACCCCAUUCCAAGAAGCCCCACCCUCUCUCCAAGACUUUAUUCUUGUCUGAAUGUUUUCUGAGCCCGACGGUCCUUAUUUAUGUUUCAAAUAGCUUGGGAGGAAAAACUCCAAUACAGACAACUUGAAUUGGCAACCAAACCCUAAUGCUACUUACUGUCAAGUCAUAUCCGUGAAUUUCGUAGCACUAAUGCAUUCAUUCAGUCAGUCAAAUAGAAUUGCCUGUUACAGCUCAGGUUGAUAUGGGAGUCGGGCAAUGACAGGCAAAAGAAACAGCCCCUUGUGACACAAAGCUUAUACUUCCACUGGCUUCUUACAACUCCUCUCUGAUCUACCCUUCCCAGAGUCCAUAUUUCCCCUCUCGAUUCUCUGUGACCACCCUUUCAUUUAGGAAGACAGCUCAAAUUUCAGCCUGACUCUGUGCACUCUCUUCUGAGCUUUGCUUCUCUGGAAGCUUAGGACUCUCACGAUCCACUGUGCCCCACUAGCUAGCACACCUAGCAGUUCACCCUUUACCAGUUCUUCUUCUUCUUCUCCUUCUUCUUCUCCUUAUUCUCCUUAUUCUCCUACUUCCUCCCUCCUCUUCUCCUCCUCCUUCUCCCCCUCAUUCUCCUCCUCCUCCUUUCUUCCUUCUCCCCCUCCUUCUCCUCCUUCUCCUCCUCCUUCUCCUUCUUCCUCCUCCCUCUUCUCCUCCUUCUCCGCCUCUUCUCCCCCUACUUCUCCUUCCUCCUUCCUCCUCUUCUCCUCCUCCUUCUCCUGCUCCUCCUCCUUCUCCUUCCUCCUCCAUCCUCUUCUCCUCCUUCUUCUCCUUUCUUCUUUCUUCUUCUUUGAGACAAGGUCUCACUCUGUUGCCCCGGCUGGAGUGCAUUGGCACCAUUUCAGCUCACUGCAACCUCUGCCUCCUGGGUUCAAGCGAUUCUCACACCUCUGCCUCUCAAGUAGCUGGAACUACAGACCAUGCCCAGAUAAUUUUUGUAUUUUUAGUACAGAUGGGAUUUCACCAUGUUGGCCAGGCUGGUCUCAAACCCCUGGGGCUCAGCCUCCCAAAGCGCUGGGACUACAGGCAUGAGCCACCACACCUGGCCCCUUUACCAUUUCUUGAUGGAACUAAUGGAUUCCCACCCCACAGCCUUUAUGAAUGGACUGAGGCCAUUGAAUUCAGGAUUCUUACUUUGGUGUGUAGCUGUGGCUGCCUCCCUAGGACCAGGGCACAGAAAUUUCACAGUAACCAAUGAGAGAGACCAGGGGCCAGCUCCAAGCCAGAGUCAUUUCAUUCAGGGCAGAUGUGAUCAGAAGACCAGCCAAGGGGCUGUCCCUCUAGCAGGAUGUGAAAACAAGGAGAGUCCUGGUCAACACAAUUUUGCUUGGAAAGCAAAGUGGGUGCUGAAAUACCUACACCUGAGAGCGAUUGUCUUAAUGUGGCAGGAAUGUAAAACAAAUUGGACAUAAUUUGGAGGGAGGGUAAUGAGGUACCACGAACAAGAAAACAUAAAGAAUCACUAGGCUCGGCAAGGUGUCAACCCUGUCCUAAUUAGGCACAGUUGUUAUAAGAAGUACAUAAUUAAUAAGCGUGUGACCAGAUGUGAAAUACAGCAGAGGUUUUUCCUGAAAUGGAGGGUGUAAUGAACUGCGCAGCUGGAAGUAGUUGUCCUAAUUUGGCGCAGGCGGAAGGCCUGCCUGGAAUUUUGAAGAGGUGUAGUAAGAUGCACACCACAGGUUUACACCUGAAAACAACUAAUCCUAUUCCAACUGGACUGGGGUGUAAUGAGAUAGAGCUACUUAUCAAGAGUGUAAUGAGAUGCAAAAGCCAUUGGAACUGAGCUGGAAAUUUCUUUAAAAGUGAACUAAGACGCAAACACCAGGAAAGAAUUUCUGCUAAUGGAGGUAGGUGUGAGUGUGAUGAAACGUACACCAUGUGAGGAGAGGCUGCUUUAACAUGUCUGGGCCAAAGACGCGUCUGUAAUUAAAAAUAUUGCCAGGACAUUUACACACCUGGAGCAAGAGUCCCUGGGAACCUAAGAACGCAAUGACUUGUAAAAGCCACAUGCAUACUAUUAAGAUGUAUGUGACCACUUAUGUGUGUACAAAUAACUGGAAAAAAAAUAAAAGGAACUUAGGUGUUUUCGGGUGA